GUACACUCCUGCGGGAGGCAGCAGUGGGGAAUUUUGGACAAUGGGCGAAAGCCUGAUCCAGCAAUGCCGCGUGAGUGAAGAAGGCCUUCGGGUUGUAAAGCUCUUUUGUCAGGGAAGAAACGGUGAGAGCUAAUAUCUCUUGCUAAUGACGGUACCUGAAGAAUAAGCACCGGCUAACUACGUGCCAGCAGCCGCGGUAAUACGUAGGGUGCAAGCGUUAAUCGGAAUUACUGGGCGUAAAGCGUGCGCAGGCGGUUUUGUAAGUCUGAUGUGAAAUCCCCGGGCUCAACCUGGGAAUUGCAUUGGAGACUGCAAGGCUAGAAUCUGGCAGAGGGGGGUAGAAUUCCACGUGUAGCAGUGAAAUGCGUAGAUAUGUGGAGGAACACCGAUGGCGAAGGCAGCCCCCUGGGUCAAGAUUGACGCUCAUGCACGAAAGCGUGGGGAGCAAACAGGAUUAGAUACCCGGGUAGUCCCAUG
RNAcentral lists this ribosomal RNA (477 nucleotides) under uncultured organism. RNAcentral describes it as "partial 16S ribosomal RNA". It matches the Rfam family "Bacterial small subunit ribosomal RNA", at positions 331 to 799 of the family's 1533-position model. The record is from RNAcentral.